AAUUCAGCAAAGGGAACACGGUAGAAGAGGGCAUGGAUAACUGGAGCUUUUAUUAUCUUUGGAUGCGUGUAUGGAGCUCAGAGUUCAGAUCUCAUGGCCAGGAAACCUGACAAAGGUCUGUGUCAUUCAUUCAUUCAUUCAUUCAUUCAUUCAUGCAUUUGUUCAUGGCUGAGUUGUAAGUGGUCAUCACAGCACAGCAAGAAACUCUACAACUCACAACCAUAACUGCAGCUAGGUCUUACAAGAACCUCCAAAAUUCGCUUCCUGUUUCUUUCCUACCAGGUUAAACGCAAUAACCAUAACAAGGAACAAACUACAACAUGGAAGUUAAUAGCACAUAGGCAAUGUACUAAUUAUUUCACAGUUGAGUGAAGAUGCUGGCCUUACCUGAGGUAUUUGCACUGGUGCUGUUAGGAAGCAGCAAACCCACCGGCUGUCCUGCGCUCUGGAGCACCAGCUCGCUGCAGAGGGACAGAGUGGGCAGGGGCUUACAAGCACCAUUGGCUGCAUUUCCAGGGAUGGUGGAGUCACUGUUCCUGGGGGUGUUUAAGGAAAGGCUGGACGUGGUGCUUAGGGACAUGAUUUAGUGGGUGACAUUGGUGGGAGGGGGAUGGUUGGACCAGAUGAUCUUGGAGGCCUUUUCCAACCCUAAUGGUUCUAUGAUUAUAUGAUUCCAAACUCCAGGGUCUGACAGAUGCCCACAAGGCUGUGCCCUUGUCAGAUGUUCUUACAUCAGGUGCAAUGCCUGGUAAACACCAGAUCUUUCUGCCUAUUCUCCAGGGUUUUUCAGUUCCUCAGUCCCCAUCCAUGUGUAUGCAUCUGAGUCCCAGACCCAAGGCCACAGGCUCACACAGCAUCGUUUACAGGACGGUGGAGUAAUUAAGUUCACAUGUUCAUUUGGACUGAAUAAACUGCAGCACUCUAAGGAAGCUCGGUGGGCUCCUCUGCUGUGGAGACCAGGAGGCAGAGCACCCAGCUGCCGAGGUGGACAUCAGCCUGGUACCAGGUUAGCACCUACUGCAGGGUCACAGGCCACCCCAAAGGCCUCAGAGCCUUGUCAUCUCCUGUUAGGUGAGGAUCUGGCCUCUGGGCAGUCUCUGAAUUUCCACAAGCUGCCUUCUGCAAUUUUGGUGUCUGCCCACACAUGGUGCAUCAAAGCUGGGACCUGCACGCAACUGGGUACAGACAUGUCCUUGGGGCCCUGUUUCCAGCCGCUGUGGCCCGAGGAGUUCAUAUGAGUGCAGAAUGAUGUGUGAAACCAAAGGCUAGCACAAAUCUGGGCGCAGUUAGGAAGCUGUCCCCAGGAAGAGCUUGACUGAUCUCUAGCUGUUUUUAAAAAACGCUGAGAGUUUGUACUGGGGACAUUUGCGAGGCUGAAAUUUCAGUGGGUAGGCCAAAAUGAGCAUGUCUGAAGAGCUACCUGAAAAGAAGUAUUUAAAUGCACAGGUUUUGCAACUGAGGGCACAAUCUGAGCAUCCGACCAUUCCACCAUAAUGACUUUUGUCCUAAUAAUAACUUAAAUGGUUUCCUAAACAUUAACUUGAACUUGCU
Molecule: long non-coding RNA, 1551 nt
Organism: Anser brachyrhynchus (Pink-footed goose)
Lineage: Eukaryota; Metazoa; Chordata; Aves; Anseriformes; Anatidae
Source: Ensembl